Limulus polyphemus (Atlantic horseshoe crab) is the source of this 1334-nucleotide long non-coding RNA. RefSeq lists it as uncharacterized. The record is from RefSeq and is a predicted model, not a curated record. The transcript is spliced from 4 exons. NCBI's taxonomy places the organism in Eukaryota, Metazoa, Arthropoda, Merostomata, Xiphosura, Limulidae.
UAGGUGUAACUGUUCAUGUAAUGUUGUUGGCUGACGGUGCGAUUCCUUGGUAGAGCUUGAUUUUUACUUUACUGUUAUCAGGAAAAUAUUUUCUCGUUGUACGAAUGCUUUAAUUAAAGUUUUGCACGUAUAACCUAUAUAAUAUAUAAGAAAUAAUAUAGUACAACAACUUCUUAAAGUAAGAAAAAAAGUUAAGUCCCUGCUAUAUCAUCUUUCCGGCAAGAUUUCUUCAUAACUAAAUUAAACUAAUAUAAAUCAAUAAUCAAGCUGUAUAAAAUAACUAAGCAAACAUAUGUUGAAUCAUUUAAUAAGUACAUUACAGUACUAAAUCACCAAACACCUAUUACGAAUUUAUAAACAAGCUUGUGAUAAAUUUACCUUGUCACAAUCAGUAAGUCGCUCCUUGUAACAACUGUCACUAUAUAUGUUACAAUCCAUACAGUGGCUAGUUGUUUAUUUGGAUUGUUCUUCUAUUAGUAGUUACAGACUUGAUUAUUGUAUGGAUUUGCUAAGUUGUUUCGUCGAAUCUUCAAUGCAGACGAUAACUAUAACAGCUCUUCUAAACCACGAUAUUAUUGUCACGAUCUUUCCUCGACUGAAUGAUCACCUCGAGUAACGCAGAUCUGUCGUGACCAUGGAAGGACACCAAAUCCCGGCGCAAGUCAUUAACAAUGGGCGAAUUAAUGCUUGUCUGUUGGGGUGGCGAUAUACGGCGCGAUGAAAAUGUGACACAUAGUGUUGCAAAAACGAAGCAAUCUGAUCUACUCUGGCUCCCAACAAAAUCGAUAAAUAUAUAUGUGUGUGUGUGCGCGUGCAUGUAAGUGUGUGAGCGAACUCAUACGUGAGAUUCUACUAUGGGCAAAGUUGUAUUGUUCUAAUAUGCUAAAGAAACCGUGCCAGGGGGUAGUGCUAGCUAGUAAUUGUGUCUUCUAAUUAGAAACUGAGUGAGCUAAAAAUUGACAUCACCCACGUGACUCGUGCAGUUUCCUCGUGGCAACAAGGAAACUUCUUCAUCCAUCUUACAACCUGCAGUAACAUGGAUGAUAAAUACCCCAAGUACCAAUAACCUGCCAACAGACUACUUGACCUUUCAUAACUCUGUGAAGCAUGACCUCUGAACUGAAGAAAUAAAAGUUGCAUUAUACAGGUAACAGUCUAAAUGAACCAUGGAAUUGUUUCUAUUGAUACCUCGGGUUGAGAAAUGCUACUUCUAGCAUGAAAUGUCUCGUAAGUUCAUCCCUGAUGAUCACAUGGAAAACGUCGAAUAAUGUAAGAGUCAACAUUUUAAAGGUCAUAGAUUGGCCUGAAUUAAAAAGUUUUUAAUGUAUUUUAAC